RNAcentral lists this ribosomal RNA (493 nucleotides) under uncultured bacterium. RNAcentral describes it as "bacterial SSU rRNA". It matches the Rfam family "Bacterial small subunit ribosomal RNA", at positions 28 to 521 of the family's 1533-position model. The record is from RNAcentral.
GAUGAACGCUGGCGGCGUGCUUAACACAUGCAAGUCGAACGAAGCACUUAAUGAGAUUUCUUCGGAUUGAUUAUUUUGUGACUGAGUGGCGGACGGGUGAGUAACGCGUGGGUAACCUGCCCCAGACCGGGGGAUAACAGUCGGAAACGACUGCUAAUACCGCAUAAGCGCACAGUGCCGCAUGGCACGGUGUGAAAAACUCCGGUGGUCUGGGAUGGACCCGCGUCCGAUUAGUUAGUUGGCGGGGUAACGGCCCACCAAGACCGCGAUCGGUAGCCGACCUGAGAGGGUGACCGGCCACAUUGGGACUGAGACACGGCCCAGACUCCUACGGGAGGCAGCAGUGGGGAAUAUUGCACAAUGGAGGAAACUCUGAUGCAGCGACGCCGCGUGAGCGAAGAAGUAUUUCGGUAUGUAAAGCUCUGUCAGCAGGGAAGAUAAUGACGGUACCUGACCAAGAAGCCCCGGCUAACUACGUGCCAGCAGCCGCGGU